This 362-nucleotide ribosomal RNA is filed under the name uncultured Micrococcus sp. RNAcentral's name for it is "bacterial SSU rRNA". It matches the Rfam family "Bacterial small subunit ribosomal RNA", at positions 139 to 508 of the family's 1533-position model. The record is from RNAcentral. Lineage: Bacteria; Bacillati; Actinomycetota; Actinomycetes; Micrococcales; Micrococcaceae.
GGGAGUAAGACCUGGGAAACUAGGGUCGUAAUACCGGAUAGGAGCGCCUACCGCAUGGUGGGUGUUGGUAAAGGAUUUAUCGGUUUUUUGGAUGGACUCGCGGCCUAUCAGCUUGUUGGUGAGGUAAUGGCUCACCAAGGCGACGACGGGUAGCCGGCCUGAGAGGGUGACCGGCCACACUGGGACUGAGACACGGCCCAGACUCCUACGGGAGGCAGCAGUGGGGAAUAUUGCACAAUGGGCGCAAGCCUGAUGCAGCGACGCCGCGUGAGGGAUGACGGCCUUCGGGUUGUAAACCUCUUUCAGUAGGGAAGAAGCGAAAGUGACGGUACCUGCAGAAGAAGCACCGGCUAACUACGUGC